AUUUACCCCUGACUCUCGAUCAAAAUUACAAGGUUUUGCCGCCGCUAAGUUACAUAGUCCCCCGAUGAGGCGAUGUCCCAGAAACGGAACCUAGGGUUCCUUCUCUGGCGCACCCACUCGAUCCUCGGUAGCGGCUCGAUCGCACGCGGCGGCUGCUGCCUCCCUCCCCCGAUGGGAGGAACGGGACGCCUCGCCUCCUAAACCCUCGCCGCCGACCACGACGUCUUCGCUUGCCUGGUGCGGAUUCUCGUGCCCUCUGCCCCAACCCACGCGCAGCAGCUCCGAGCCUGCAACUCCCCAAGUUCUCUUCUCUUCUGCAACGACAGAGGCAAGCGAUUCAUCCCGAUGGAGAGCGGAGGAAGCCGGGGGCAGCGCUGGUGGGGCACCACAUGGAUUCGCAUGAUGCAGGACAGUACGGGGGCGCUGCCAGAUCCACUGGAUGUAGGGGAGGGCGGAUUGCCGCCGGAAUUCACGUGGUGCAGGAUCUGGUGGCGCGCCGUCAGUCGCCAGGAUUGGCAGUGGGAUGGCGGCAAGUCGAGGGGAUGGAGGCUGGGGGUCGGGAGGGACUACUGGUGUUGGUCGCCAUUGUCCAAGGCUAUUGGUCUUGGUCGCCUUCGUUCGCGUCGUGAAGUGCGCGACCCUCGCGAGCGUUCAUCUCGCGUCCGCUCAUGCCUUUACCAAAGAAUCGGUUUGACUGCAGUGCACGAUUACUAAAUUGGUGCAUUCAGAAUACCACCAAUAUAUAGUUUCUUGCAAUGCCAGCUAACAGUGCUACUGCUGAUCUCCCACGGAAGAUUUCUCCACCAAAAAUGAUUCACUCUUCUAUGCCCCUUACUGUAAAGUACCAUCAGAGCAUCGUAUCUCAAUGUUCCUUAUUUCUUUCAUACUUGACCGCACAGAAUUACUGUAAAAUGCUCAAACACUCGAACUAUUUGCUAUGGAGGAAUCUAUAAGUGUUUUACAAACCCCUGCUUCCUGUUUGCAGCCCCGAACUGAGGAGUAGCAGGGACGAGCGCAUCCUCGACGCUGCAGCGAUUGAUGCCGUGAAGGCGUACAGCAGGGACGAGCGCAUCCUCGACGCUACAGCGAUUGACGCCGUGAAGGCGUACACCGGCGUGGACUAGCAAGGCUGCUACGCAUCAGAUGGCGUUGAGGAAUGAUUCGAGCUCCUCCACAUUGUCUCCGAGGAAUAUUGAAGAUCUCAGGAGCGUGCACCUAUGUCAGAUUUGAGAGGGAAAGAAGCCCUCAGAGUACAUUAAUUCAUCACUGAGUUCGGGAAUUUGAAUGUCACACAUUAUCGUGAAAUUUAGAUGUCAUACAUUAUCAUGGACUCGGCUGCGGUCAAGCCCAAGCGCACCCGUGCGGACCGGGAGCUCUGUCUAGGUGGUGAUGCAUGUGUCGCCCUCUCUUGUAACCAGGGGAGUGUCCAUGGGUGUGUGUUGGAGGAUGCAUUGCCCCCUUCGGUGAACCGUGAAUUAACACCAUCACGGCACCGCCAGGCUUCUUGAGUCUGCUCCCGGCCAUUUGACAAGCUAGGACGAUAUUACAGAUUAUGAAAUUUGGUCCUCCAGUGAUUUUAUGCUUCACGGUUGUUUCUAUGGCUUUGAUUGUGGAUAAAUUUAUAUGAUGUACUGAUUUGCAAUGCGGGAGCUUUUGUUGUCCAGUGAUUGGUCUAUCGUCUAAUUGAAGCAUAUGGUGGCAUAUUUUGGCGUUGGUAUUUCGGCAUCUUCCUCGUUAACUGAAUUGAUCAAUUAUUCUAUUGCUGCAAGAAUUGAUAAUGCGGGCUGCGGAUAUGAUUAGUCAGAUUUCAGCUCCAUAAUAAUGAACUAAACGGUGCAUAGUGUGUUGGUCCCAGUGUACUUAUUGGAAAUGUCUGAUCAAGUUGUUACUUUGAAUGCUACGAUUUUAUUGCAGGCUUGGUUUAUCAUUAUUAGGAGUUCCGCUUCAUCACCUAUAAUAUCAGAAUUCCUCGGUUCCAUGUUUCAAGGUGUCAACAAGCAGAGGUAUUAACUGCUCUGGCAGAUGAUAAUGCUUUAAUGGAAGUACAAGUGUUCAUUAGUGCAGCUCGGUUCAUUGGAUGCACAUUGACACAAUGAUGCGAGAAUGCGUUUCUUUCUUGGAAUGGAAAAUCUACAUAUACUUUGCAAAGGUAGGUGUGUAUUCCAGCAAGAGAUAGAUCAACAGAGAAAAUUUAGAUUAGAAUGGGUUGAUUAGCUUUCUACUGUUAAUCUUAUAGCAUUUGAUGCUUGCUCUUGGGAUUUUCUGAAGAACAAUAUGCAGUGGCAGAAGCAUUCAGAAAAACCAGCUAUAUCCAGGGCCAUCAUAGAAUCUUCAGGCUACAUAUUUUCUAACAGUAUGGAGAGUUGUGGCAAGUGGAGUAGACAAGCUGAUAUUCACUGAAAUUUCCCUGGAAACCCAAUGUUUAGUAAUGGUGGGGCGGAAAGGAUUCAUGCUAAUUGGACUGGUCCCUUUGUUGUUUUUCAAGCAUGGUUUUUGAGGUCUGAAGUUUUCUUUCCAAGAUUGUACGAGUGGAAUGACUAAUGAUAAAAUUCAGCUGAUGAAGGAUGGUGUCACGUACUGACAGUUGCUGAGGCAGAUAAGAUAAUUAAAAAAAUAGGGUGUAUGAUAUACAAAUAUCAGGCUUCAAAGUUGGAAACGAAUUGUCAAAUUGGGAUGAAAUGUACAUUGUUUUACAUUAUACAAACUUACGUCUUUCUUGUUUACCAGAUGUACACUUUGCUUGUUGGAUUGUUGUCAUAAGGUUUACUACCACGAAAUAUAUGGAGGUCGAUUGGAUUAUGAGAUUGUAAAUAUUGCCUUA
This is a long non-coding RNA of Lolium perenne, 2821 nucleotides long. RefSeq lists it as uncharacterized. Lineage: Eukaryota; Viridiplantae; Streptophyta; Magnoliopsida; Poales; Poaceae. The record is from RefSeq and is a predicted model, not a curated record.